CAGCCGCCGCGGUAAUACGUAGGUGGCAAGCGUUGUCCGGAAUUAUUGGGCGUAAAGGGCUCGCAGGCGGUUUCUUAAGUCUGGUGUGAAAGCCCCCGGCUCAACCGGGGAGGGUCAUUGGAAACUGGGAAACUUGAGUGCAGAAGAGGAGAGUGGAAUUCCACGUGUAGCGGUGAAAUGCGUAGAGAUGUGGAGGAACACCAGUGGCGAAGGCGACUCUCUGGUCUGUAACUGACGCUGAGGAGCGAAAGCGUGGGGAGCGAACAGGAUUAGAUACCCCCGUAGUCCCUGUCUCUUAUAC
RNAcentral lists this ribosomal RNA (301 nucleotides) under uncultured bacterium. RNAcentral describes it as "partial 16S ribosomal RNA". It matches the Rfam family "Bacterial small subunit ribosomal RNA", at positions 509 to 807 of the family's 1533-position model. The record is from RNAcentral.